AGGAGGGAGGAAAAUAAAGGGAGAAACCCAGGGGAGAAGGCUAGGAACCAGUGGAGAGAACACUGAAAACCAGAGAGGAAAACAAGGGAUUUUGGGACUGAAAAGAGAGAAACAGGGAGGGACCGGAGACAAAAACCCAGGAGCAAAACCAGAGAAAGAAAGCCAUGCACGGCAGGGAGAGAGACUAAAACCAAAGGAAAACCAGAGAAAAAAGGCAGAACCGAGGGAGGAAAAA
Molecule: long non-coding RNA, 235 nt
Filed under: Populus tremula
Lineage: Eukaryota; Viridiplantae; Streptophyta; Magnoliopsida; Malpighiales; Salicaceae
Description: long non-coding RNA (PTRE_LNC003177)
Source: RNAcentral